RNAcentral lists this ribosomal RNA (497 nucleotides) under uncultured bacterium. RNAcentral's name for it is "partial 16S ribosomal RNA". It matches the Rfam family "Bacterial small subunit ribosomal RNA", at positions 28 to 507 of the family's 1533-position model. The record is from RNAcentral.
GAUGAACGCUGGCGGCGUGCCUAAUACAUGCAAGUCGAGCGAACAGACGAGGAGCUUGCUCCUUCGACGUUAGCGGCGGACGGGUGAGUAACACGUAGGUAACCUACCUAUAAGACUGGGAUAACUUCGGGAAACCGGAGCUAAUACCGGAUAAUAUUUCGAACCGCAUGGUUCGAUAGUGAAAGAUGGCUUUGCUAUCACUUAUAGAUGGACCUGCGCCGUAUUAGCUAGUUGGUAAGGUAACGGCUUACCAAGGCAACGAUACGUAGCCGACCUGAGAGGGUGAUCGGCCAAACUGGAACUGAGACACGGUCCAGACUCCUACGGGAGGCAGCAGUAGGGAAUCUUCCGCAAUGGGCGAAAGCCUGACGGAGCAACGCCGCGUGAGUGAAGAAGGUCUUCGGAUCGUAAAACUCUGUUAUUAGGGAAGAAAAAACGUGUAAGUAAAUGUGCACGUCUUGACGGUACCUAAUCAAAAAGCCACGGCUAACUACGUG